This 227-nucleotide long non-coding RNA is filed under the name Nicotiana benthamiana. Its description in RNAcentral is "long non-coding RNA (NBEN_LNC038013)". Lineage: Eukaryota; Viridiplantae; Streptophyta; Magnoliopsida; Solanales; Solanaceae. The record is from RNAcentral.
GAAAAACGUAGUGUAGACAAUCCUAAAAUAGUUGAAGAAAUUAAAAAGAAAAGGCCCAGGAAAAAUAAAAGGCGUAAGAAUCAUGUUAGAAAUUGCGAUAAUUCUAGGAUUUUUGUAAAUGAGUCUAGAAUUAAUCAUUUUAGACCGCCUAGAAAUGACUCUAGGAAUUUCAACGCUUCUAGGAAUAACGCCUUUAGAUCACCUAGAACGUUUUUGGCUCAACCAAG